Nomascus leucogenys (northern white-cheeked gibbon) is the source of this 803-nucleotide long non-coding RNA. RefSeq lists it as uncharacterized. The transcript has 5 exons. The record is from RefSeq and is a predicted model, not a curated record. Lineage: Eukaryota; Metazoa; Chordata; Mammalia; Primates; Hylobatidae.
CUUUAUUUCCUUCACAGUAUUUUUCACAAUUUGUAAUUAUUAUGUGUAACUUGUUUUCUUGUCUGUCUAAACCUUUAACUUUUUGAGGGCAGGGAAUGUGGAUGCCAAUAUCUUAAGAGCUCAGAACAGUGUAUCUUUGUGUCUUUACAGCCUGACACAUUUUUGUUGAGUCAAUUGACAAAAGAACUGACACCAGAUGGCCAAUCAACUCAAGAGAAACUUUCAUGGAGACGAUAUGGUUCAAUCAUCUCUUCAAAGACUUUCCAGCUAAAAUUUGAAUUAUAAAGGAGGCCUCACAGUGGGAAACUAACUCAUUAUUUCACAGAUACUCCAGGAUAAUGAGGACAUGUGACAAAUACCAAAUUAACAUGAUGGACAUCAGAAGAGGACAUCUUGGGACAAAGGUCCAGCUUUGAAGAAAAAUAUUUUUGUAUAAAUUUUGUGUAGCCCAAGUAAACAGUGUUGAUAAAAUCUACAGUAGUGUGGUCAUGUCCUGGGGCCUCACAUUCACUCACCACUCACUGACUCACCCAGAGCAACUGCCAGUCCUGCACGUUCCAUUCAUGGGUCUGUCGGUUCUGAAGCAAUGAUCUGAUAUUGUUUUUACAUCCCUGGGACCGAUGAGGGAGAAAAAUUUAUUUACAAAAUGGACCAAGCUCUGCCCUCACUUACAGACAAGUCAAAGCAGCCAGAGGCCUCCUGUUCACACUCAGGUACCUGGGGGCAGGAUUGGUUCUGGUCUAGAACUCAAAAGAGUUGACAACCAACGGAAGCCCAGAGUAGUGAAUGGGCCCACUUUAGAG